UGAGGAAUAUUGGUCAAUGGGCGGAAGCCUGAACCAGCCAUCCCGCGUGCAGGAAGACGGCCCUAUGGGUUGUAAACUGCUUUUCCAGGGGGAGAAACUUUCCGAUGAAUCGGGAUUUGACGGUACCCUGGGAAUAAGCAUCGGCUAACUCCGUGCCAGCAGCCGCGGUAAUACGGAGGAUGCGAGCGUUAUCCGGAUUUAUUGGGUUUAAAGGGUGCGUAGGCGGAUCGAUAAGUCAGUGGUGAAAACCUGCAGCUCAACUGUAGACUUGCCGUUGAUACUGUUGGUCUUGAGUAUGGUCAAGGUAGGCGGAAUGUGUAAUGUAGCGGUGAAAUGCUUAGAUAUUACACAGAACACCGAUUGCGAAGGCAGCUUACUGGACCAUCACUGACGCUGAUGCACGAAAGCGUGGGGAUCGAACA
RNAcentral lists this ribosomal RNA (422 nucleotides) under uncultured bacterium. Its description in RNAcentral is "bacterial SSU rRNA". It matches the Rfam family "Bacterial small subunit ribosomal RNA", at positions 355 to 774 of the family's 1533-position model. The record is from RNAcentral.